UACGAAGAGGGCUAGCGUUGCUCGGAAUCACUGGGCGUAAAGCGCACGUAGGCGGCUUUCUAAGUCAGGGGUGAAAUCCUGGAGCUCAACUCCAGAACUGCCUUUAAUACUGGAGAGCUUGAGUUCGGGAGAGGUGAGUGGAACUGCGAGUGUAGAGGUGAAAUUCGUAGAUAUUCGCAAGAACACCAGUGGCGAAGGCGGCUCACUGGCCCGAUACUGACGCUGAGGUGCGAAAGCGUGGGGAGCAAACAGG
RNAcentral lists this ribosomal RNA (253 nucleotides) under uncultured bacterium. RNAcentral describes it as "partial 16S ribosomal RNA". It matches the Rfam family "Bacterial small subunit ribosomal RNA", at positions 524 to 776 of the family's 1533-position model. The record is from RNAcentral.